This 253-nucleotide ribosomal RNA is filed under the name uncultured prokaryote. RNAcentral describes it as "partial 16S ribosomal RNA". It matches the Rfam family "Bacterial small subunit ribosomal RNA", at positions 524 to 776 of the family's 1533-position model. The record is from RNAcentral.
UACGAAGGGGGCUAGCGUUGUUCGGAAUUACUGGGCGUAAAGCGCGCGUAGGCGGUGAUCUUUGUCAGAGGUGAAAGCCCGGGGCUCAACUCCGGAAUUGCCUUUGAAACGGGAUUGCUUGAGUCCGAGAGAGGAUGGCGGAAUUCCUAGUGUAGAGGUGAAAUUCGUAGAUAUUCGGAAGAACACCAGUGGCGAAGGCGACUCACUGGCCCGAUACUGACGCUGAGGCGCGAAAGCGUGGGGAGCAAACAGG